CCUACGGGAGGCAGCAGUGGGGAAUAUUGCACAAUGGGCGAAAGCCUGAUGCAGCGACGCCGCGUGAGGGAUGACGGCCUUCGGGUUGUAAACCUCUUUCAGCAGGGAAGAAGCGAAAGUGACGGUACCUGCAGAAGAAGCGCCGGCUAACUACGUGCCAGCAGCCGCGGUAAUACGUAGGGCGCAAGCGUUGUCCGGAAUUAUUGGGCGUAAAGAGCUCGUAGGCGGCUUGUCACGUCGGAUGUGAAAGCCCGAGGCUUAACCUCGGGUCUGCAUUCGAUACGGGCUAGCUAGGGUGUGGUAGAGGAGAUCGGAAUUCCUGGUGUAGCGGUGAAAUGCGCAGAUAUCAGGAGGAACACCGGUGGCGAAGGCGGAUCUCUGGGCCAUUACUGACGCUGAGGAGCGAAAGCGUGGGGAGCGAACAGGAUUAGAUACCCUGGUAGUCCACGCCGUAAACGUUGGGAACUAGGUGUUGGCGACAUUCCACGUCGUCGGUGCCGCAGCUAACGCAUUAAGUUCCCCGCCUGGGGAGUACGGCCGCAAGGCUAAAACUCAAAGGAAUUGACGGCUGAGACGNGCGAGCGACACGAGGAGAG
RNAcentral lists this ribosomal RNA (596 nucleotides) under uncultured bacterium. Its description in RNAcentral is "bacterial SSU rRNA". It matches the Rfam family "Bacterial small subunit ribosomal RNA", at positions 338 to 943 of the family's 1533-position model. The record is from RNAcentral.